Long non-coding RNA from Triticum dicoccoides, 265 nucleotides. RefSeq lists it as uncharacterized. The record is from RefSeq and is a predicted model, not a curated record. The transcript is spliced from 3 exons. NCBI's taxonomy places the organism in Eukaryota, Viridiplantae, Streptophyta, Magnoliopsida, Poales, Poaceae.
AGAACAGCAGGAGCUCUCUGCCUCUCCAGUUUGAUGGAUGGGAACGACCGGGACCCCACGCUCGAGCCAGAUGAGCUCGAUGGCUAGCAGCCCCGACAACCAUGAUUCCCCAGAGAACAAGAAGGUCUAUCUCAUGGACACCCAGAUUUUGUACGCAAUUUUCUCAACACCAUCGCGUUACCUCACUGCUGGUGGUAUGAUUGCGUACCAGGCUACUUGGUGCUGCCCAUCAAAAUUCGCACGGCAUGAUAGUUUCCAUCAGGAG